AUUCAACCCCGUGUUGCAAACAGUCUAAAGGUUUGUCACACUGAGAGACACCAGAAAAACUGUCCUCAAGAAAAAGAUGGCAGCUCAUUUCACAAAAGAGACAAAGUUCAAAGAUUUGCCUUUCUAAGUGUCUUCUAAGCCUCUGGAGAGAGAGGGGAAGAGUACAUGAAGCCUUUGGUGUUCAGUUAUAGUAACAGCGUUUUAAAUAAAAGACAAGUCUCCUACUUUAGCCCAGAACUCUCAACAGACCUGCUUCAGCCUACCAAGCACUGCCAUGACAGAACUCAAAUUAGAAUUCUUUUUCAAUUAGAUUUAGGGACAUAUACUAGAUUACCUGUAUUUUAAUGUGUCAUCUAAGAUACAUUCAAAUUGGAAACAGAAAUACUCAUUAAAAAGUUUGAAGCAAGGCUAGAGAGAUGACUCAGCGGUUAAGAGCACUGGUUGCUCUUCCAGAGGACCUGGGUUCAAUUCCCAGCACUCACAUGGCAGCUCACAGCUGUCUGUAACUCCAGUUCCAAAGCCUGACACCCUCACACAGACACACAUGCAGGCAAAAACAACAGUGAACAUAAAGUAAAAAACAAAACCACACACACACACACACACACACACACACACACACACAAAUAUUUGAAGCAGGGUAGGCAUAGUAGGUGUGUGUCUAUACAGUUGUGAAGUUGAGACAGAAGGAUUCAGAGUUUGAGGCCAACCUGGACUACAUAGUGACUUCAAAGCCAGCAUAGUCUACAUAGCAAGUUCUUGUCUCAAACAAAACUAAAAACAAGACAAAAACACCCAAAAUAAAAAAAAAAAAUCAACUAACCAAUAAACCCAGGUUCUUUAGCAAGUCUAUAACAAACAGCAAGAAAAUUCCUUUAGAAUUGGGUGGGCGAGUGAAUGACCAUACCCUUGCCUUAUUCCCCCAAGUCCCACAGGUUUCCCCACCUCAAGCUGGGCUCUUGCUAUGUUACCCAGGCACAUCCUCCAGCCACAGCUUUCUGAGUGCAGAGAUUAUAGGUAGGUGCCACAAUGGUUCUUCACACUUUCAUCUUUAAUUCAGUGUGUGCAAUCACAUUAUUUCUUUAGGCAAACUUUCUUAAGGGAAACUUUCUUACAGGAUAAAUAAUAUCAGAAUUUCUGAAACAAAAGGUCCUGAAAUUUUUGAUAUAUACAUGAAAGAAAUUUCCUUAUAAACUUAGCCAAGGCUGAACAGUCACUUAUCUCCUUUGUGAAACCUGAAUUUCAAUUACAUCUCACUUGAACUAA
Molecule: long non-coding RNA, 1266 nt
Organism: Peromyscus maniculatus bairdii (prairie deer mouse)
Lineage: Eukaryota; Metazoa; Chordata; Mammalia; Rodentia; Cricetidae
Source: RefSeq, a predicted model, not a curated record